GAUGAAGAACGCAGCAAAAUGCGAUAAGUAAUGUGAAUUGCAGAAUUCAGUGAAUCAUCGAAUCUUUGAACGCACAUUGCGCCCGCCAGUAUUCUGGCGGGCAUGCCUGUUCGAGCGUCAUUUCAACCCUCAAGCACAGCUUGGUGUUGGGACUCGCGUUAAUUCGCGUUCCCCAAAUUGAUUGGCGGUCACGUCGAGCUUCCAUAGCGUAGUAGUAAAACCCUCGUUACUGGUAAUCGUCGCGGCCACGCCGUUAAACCCCAACUUCUGAAUGUUGACCUCGGAUCAGGUAGGAAUACCCGCUGAACUUAAGCAUAUCAAUAAGCGGAGG
Molecule: unclassified non-coding RNA, 331 nt
Filed under: soil metagenome
Description: partial contains 5.8S ribosomal RNA, internal transcribed spacer 2, and large subunit ribosomal RNA
Rfam family: 5.8S ribosomal RNA (bases 1-120)
Source: RNAcentral